UUCCUGAACUGCUGUGUUGUGUGUUAUGAUCUUACAAAGAAGAACGGAGCAUUCCUAUCUAGCUUGGGUGCAGGAAGGUGUUACCUAAUUACAUUUGCAUGUAUAAAGCAGAAGACAAUGCUAAAUGCAAAAUGUCACUUCUGACGUGAUGCUGCUAGGACCAUGAACUGCUGGUCUGAAGAAUGUCUACCGUGACUACAGUGCUUGGCCGUCCGGUUUUGAACAAUUCUGUCUGAUGCCAAAUCAGAUGUGUUCAAGGGAAGAUUAGGUGUCGCCCAUCUUCCUGCCUGUGCCAGUUCGUCUUGUUUGCCAAGUCAACCAGCGUUUUUCUCCUCGCUCCUGUUUUUCCCAGUCUCUGUUUUUCUCCUCCUCCUGGUUGUGACCCUUGCCUCACCUGACUCUGUGUCCCCCUGCCUGACCGUUCUGCCCGGCCCUGAUCGAGCCUGCCUGCCGCUUUGUACUGUAUUGGACUUUGACAUGGUUAUGAACUCUUACCUGUCCCCGACCUGCCUUUUGCCUACACCUUGGAUUAUAAUAAAUAUCAGAGCUCAAACCAUCUGCCUCCCAUGUCUGCAUCUCGGUCUCGCCUUGUGUCGUUAUAUUUCCUCUGUGUUGUCUUGCCAACCCCUAUUGUCACACCUCUGAGAAGCAGAGGUUCUGUUGUGAUAACAUCAUAUAGGACUGAUAUCUGAUUGGAGGUUAAUUAACUUUACAGUAAUGCUUUUGGUGAACAACUCAAAUUUUUAAUCGAAACAAUUCCGAUGUUAUAAAAGAUUUUAGAUUCCUUGUCUCUCUUUCUUUUUUUGUUCUUGAACUGCUGUGGUGAGAUUUUCUUUCCUUCAUUCUU
This is a long non-coding RNA of Oncorhynchus keta (chum salmon), 847 nucleotides long. RefSeq lists it as uncharacterized. The record is from RefSeq and is a predicted model, not a curated record. The transcript is spliced from 3 exons. Lineage: Eukaryota; Metazoa; Chordata; Actinopteri; Salmoniformes; Salmonidae.